ACCUUGCUGAUGAGUGCCAAGUAGCACGAAACCCGAGUCCAGGAU
This 45-nucleotide non-coding RNA is filed under the name Schistosoma mansoni. Lineage: Eukaryota; Metazoa; Platyhelminthes; Trematoda; Strigeidida; Schistosomatidae. The record is from RNAcentral.